This 501-nucleotide ribosomal RNA is filed under the name uncultured bacterium. RNAcentral's name for it is "partial 16S ribosomal RNA". It matches the Rfam family "Bacterial small subunit ribosomal RNA", at positions 30 to 523 of the family's 1533-position model. The record is from RNAcentral.
AUUGAACGCUGGCGGCAGGCUUAACACAUGCAAGUCGAGCGGAGCGAGGGUGCUUGCACCUUAGCUUAGCGGCGGACGGGUGAGUAAUGCUUAGGAAUCUGCCUAUUAGUGGGGGACAACAUUCCGAAAGGAAUGCUAAUACCACAUACGCCCUACGGGGGAAAGCAGGGGAGCUUCGGACCUUGCGCUAAUAGAUGAGCCUAAGUCGGAUUAGCUAGUUGGUGGGGUAAAGGCCUACCAAGGCGACGAUCUGUAGCGGGUCUGAGAGGAUGAUCCGCCACACUGGGACUGAGACACGGCCCAGACUCCUACGGGAGGCAGCAGUGGGGAAUAUUGGACAAUGGGCGGAAGCCUGAUCCAGCCAUGCCGCGUGUGUGAAGAAGGCCUUUUGGUUGUAAAGCACUUUAAGCGAGGAGGAGGCUACUUAGAUUAAUACUCUGGGAUAGUGGACGUUGCUCGCAGAAUAAGCACCGGCUAACUCUGUGCCAGCCGCCGCGGUAA